RNAcentral lists this ribosomal RNA (206 nucleotides) under Photuris sp. 7 DTA-2012. RNAcentral describes it as "partial 28S ribosomal RNA". The record is from RNAcentral. Lineage: Eukaryota; Metazoa; Arthropoda; Insecta; Coleoptera; Lampyridae.
CGCGUGUGCAGCAACGGCGGCGUGCACUUCUCGGCCGGUUAGGACGUCGCAACCCGUUGGGAGUUGCCGACGCUUUAAGAGAGUCCAACGCGCGCGAGUCAAUGGGAGCACAAAGUUAAACCCAAAGGCGAAGCGAAAGCGAAAGACCGAAAAGUCGUCCUUCCGACGGGCUCUUCCUGUCCGAAUGUAACAUGAACACAGAAUUC